GACUCUCGGCAACGGAUAUCUCGGCUCUCGCAUCAAUGAAGAACGUAGCAAAAUGCGAUACCUGAUGUGAAUUGCAGAAUCCCGCGAACCAUCGAGUUUUUUGAACGCAAGUUGGGCCCGAGGCCUUCCGACCGAGGGCACGUCUGCCUGGGCGUCA
Molecule: ribosomal RNA, 157 nt
Filed under: Sorghum bicolor (sorghum)
Lineage: Eukaryota; Viridiplantae; Streptophyta; Magnoliopsida; Poales; Poaceae
Description: rRNA 5_8S_rRNA
Rfam family: 5.8S ribosomal RNA
About the family: 5.8S ribosomal RNA (5.8S rRNA) is a component of the large subunit of the eukaryotic ribosome. It is transcribed by RNA polymerase I as part of the 45S precursor that also contains 18S and 28S rRNA. Functionally, it is thought that 5.8S rRNA may be involved in ribosome translocation.
Source: RNAcentral